This 127-nucleotide small RNA is filed under the name Marmota monax (woodchuck). The record is from RNAcentral. Lineage: Eukaryota; Metazoa; Chordata; Mammalia; Rodentia; Sciuridae.
GCCAGGCGUGGUGGCACUCGCCUGUCAUCCCAGCAGCUCAGGAGGCUGAGGCAGGAGGAUCGUGAGUUCAAAGCCAGCCUCAGCAAUUUAGUGAGGCCCUAAGCAACUCAGUGAGACCCUGUCUCCA